This is a long non-coding RNA of Aethalodelphis obliquidens (Pacific white-sided dolphin), 3085 nucleotides long. RefSeq lists it as uncharacterized. Lineage: Eukaryota; Metazoa; Chordata; Mammalia; Artiodactyla; Delphinidae. The transcript has 4 exons. The record is from RefSeq and is a predicted model, not a curated record.
GUGCGUCCGGAGCCUGUGCUCAGCAAUGGGAGAGGCCACAGCAGUGAGAGGCCUGCGUACCGCAAAAAAAAAAAAAAAAAAAAUACAGACAAAUGAUUAAGAACUAUAUGAACACUGGGAGUUCCCUGGUGGCCUAGUGGUUAGGAUUCCGGGCUUUCACUGCUGUGGCCAAGGGUUCAAUCCCUGGUUGGGGAACUGAGGUCCCUCAAGGCGUGGCAUGGCCAAAAAAGAAAAGAAAUGAAAAAGAACUGUAUGUAUAGACAAAGCUCAUACAAAUUGCUAAAGGGGCAAAAAACACAGUUUUAAAAAAAAAAGAUGUAAAAUGAAAAGAGCGUCUCCCUCCGAUCUUGUCCUCCAAUUCUUCACAGGCAACCGUUGUUACCAGCUUCUAAGGCCCUCCAAAGACAUUCCAUGCUUAAGUCAUCAAAUACAUUUGUGUAUUCUUUUUUAAGUAUAAAUUAAAGCAUAGUAACGUACUAUUCUGCAUUUUGAAAAUUUUUUUCAUAUCACAGAAGAGCUGUACAUCAGUACAGAAAGCUCUAAUUUUUAAAAUAAGCACAUAUUCUCUUUUAUGGAACCCAUCAUGAUUUAAGUGGUCAUCUACUGAUGGACAUUUAUAUUGUUCUGGGGUUGGUUUUUUUUUUUCCAUUUCAAGUAAUGCUUAAGUACCCUUGUAUAUACUUUCUUGUGCACACAUGGCCACUAAUUCCGUAGGACAUAUUUGUAGAAUUGCCGAAGCAAAUUCAUUCUUCGUUUUUAAUUCUGAAGGGCACUGCCUAAUUUCCUUGUAAGAAGUUGCACUAAUUUACAACGAAUGGGAAUGCCUGUUUAUGUUCUUAUAGGACUGUCCAACCUGCACAUCAGUCACCUCAUAUGAACCUUGCAACACUCUCAGAGGAGAAAGGGGAGCCAUUACAAUUACUACCGUUUUAGAAAUAAGGAAACUGAGGCUCAGAGAAGUAACUGGGUCUCCGACAGAGCCUGAAUUAGGUUUCUAGAUCUCAGUCCAGAGGCCUAACUCGGGAAUGGAGAAGGUGGUUCCAGGUCAGUCAACGCACUGGGCAGGGGAAGCCGGAGGGAUGGUCAGGACAGGCCCUGCUCACGGGGUCCCAGUUUAACUCCCACCCGAUAUAGGAGCCUCUUUUAGGGGCCGGCCCGACUAGAACACUUGUGCGACGAGGAGCUCGGGUCCCUCGGGCAGCCGGUCCCUCCUGGGUCAGCUCCCACCUCCACAACGUUCUCCCUCCGUCGGGGCCGGCUCGACCCGGCCUGGGACGAGUCACGAGCCAGGGCGUCCCCUCAAGAGAAACUACCUUUCAGGCCCCGGCGGCCUCUCCUACGCCGGCAGCGCCCAAAAAGGGCCCAGGGCGGCGGGUAACCCUGCGUCUCUGAACGGACCGCGACGCUGGAGCGCCAUCUCGCGUCCGUUCCUCUGGCCACCAGAUGACAGCCCGGAAACCACAUUUCCCAUUGUGCCUAGCGCGUCCGCGCAGGCGCAAAGAGCUUUUUUUUUUUUUUUCCCGUUUCCAGGGCAACCUAGCCCUCCUCGGUCCAGGUGGCUAGACCCUGCGGAGGGUCGAGCCGUUGCUCCCCGUCAGGUGUCCCGGCGCCAGGACCGGGUCUACAGACUGUUGAGGGGGCAAAGUAGGAGCCUGAGGAGAGGAGGCCAGGCGACCCUGCCUCCCUCCGAGGCCCGCGCUUCCGAAUUCUGCUCGGCGUCCGGGCGUUCGCGCCCUCCUGGGGCCUCGGCCUUCUGAGGCGAAGGGGCCAGGGGAGGCCCGGGUUAGCGAGGCCAUGUCCGGCUCUGGCCUGCGCGGCCCCGCUCGUUCCACGUCAGCGCUUUGUCACUCCCGGCCGAGGGCCUGCGCGCCGCCGCCAAGUACUCCCGAGGCGCUGGCCGAUGUGGGAUGGUGCAGGACUUCUGGGGGCCACAAUUGCUCCUUUUCCUAGAGAUGUGACCCAAGGUGAGCUGUUACACCCUCUUCCUGGCAGCCUGUGCUCCCACCCCGGAAUCCUGCACUUCUUCUCUGUCCUGCCUCUCCAGUUUGCUUCUACUCCACUGGCUGCAGCAACUACCCCACACACAUCAUGGAGCAGAAUGCAAAAUUGGCCAAAGAGAAAACACACAACUACUAAGAAUGUUCAGAGUGGCCCUGGUGGCGAGUGUGCAUUCAUUCUGCAGUGGAAAGUUCUGAGAAGCAGGGGCCUGGUGGGUUGAGAGGCCAGGCGUGAUGAGGGCACUGUCUCCAGGAGGCCCUGGUAAAGUAUCCCCGUAUUACCUGGGAGCAGUUAGCCCAUCGAUCUACCCAGUGGCUCUUCACUAGAGCGUCCCGACACGCCAGACAUCAGUCAUCUGUGAUUACUGACCGCCGCUGCCUCAGCCAAGCAUCUUCCCUUCGUUGUUUCUCUUUUCCUUUCCAACGUUCUUAUAAAGGUAUUGAUUAUUCCCAUUUUACAGAUGGGGAAACUGGAGAAUAGAGAGCUUUAAAUCAUUUGUUCAAGGUCACUCAGCUGGUAGGUUACGGACCUGGGAUUUGAUCUUAGGUCAUCCCUCAAACAGCAUCUGUCCCGUUUGCUCGCGGUCCAAUAUGAGUUUCUCUCUCUCCCCCUAAUUGGCUGUUUUAUGUUGGAGAGAAAAGGGUAGAGUCACAGCGGAGACUUGAUACUUGGCCUCAGUCUGUCACCCUCCCUGGGAGACGAAGGGUAUUGAGAAGGUGAGGGUCACUGCUGAGGGACUCCGGCAGCCGGCCACAGGUGGGCGUCCUGGGGAAGCUGAGGGCUAGAUGCGCGGGGCUCGGAGAGAGCACCGGAGGGCAGAAGGACAGCUGUGCAGGGGGACAGACCCAUAAGACCACUAAAGUAAGCCAGAGUGAGGUAGACGAGCAAAGGCUAGGAGAAGGAAGGUAAGCGACAGACAGAUAUUUGGGAGGACUAGAGGAGGGGUAGGUGGAGGGGCAGCAGUGGAGUCUGCUGUGUUCAUGUCUUCCCAGUGGACACAGGGGAGAGAGCCUCUUCCCCAGCUCUUGGCAUCUCCUGAGCUAACCCUUGGGCUUCUGGCCCUCCACCAGCAGGUGUAGGGCCGUGG